UUCAAGUCAGAUAGAACGAUAGAAAGAGGCAAAAACUAAAAGCUAACAUUUGCAGCGAUGGCAUCCAUGACCAUGACAGCCGCCUCAUUCCUGACUGCAGGCUCAGCCUCAACCAUCGCCAAACCUUCAACUCCCAGCCGCCGGAGCCUCGUCGUGGCCAAGGCCGCAGCCAGAACCUCAGAGGGGGAAACAAAGAAGGAAGGGAGCAGCAACAGCAGUGGAAGGAGGGACUUGAUGUUUGCGGCUGCGGCUGCGGUGGCCAGCUCUCUUGCCAAGGCUGCCUUGGCGGAUGAGCCAAAGAGGGGGACCAAAGAAGCCAAGGAGAAGUAUGCUCCUGUUUGCGUCACCAUGCCAACUGCUCGUAUCUGUCGCAACUGAGGAAACCACUACGUACUUUCAUUUUCUUUGAUUCAGUCACGCAUGGUGGUUGUAUUAUAAUUGUCGUACAACUUUUGUAUGAUGCUCUUGUAAUUUUUGUUGGGUCAACCCUGUUAAUCUGCAAGCCUUCUUCCUCUUCUCUUAUUACGUGUUUAUGUGACACAACGGUGCGAAAUAGAGAGGCUGGUAGCUCAAGUAGUUAAAACGCCUCUAAACCAAGAUCUUGAGUUAAUAUCGCUUUUAUUAAACAAACACCACCAUAUAGAGGUUCUGGAAUCAAAUUCACUAUUUUAGGUACUGAAAAAAGAUUAGUUCUAUCGUCUAACUAUGGAAUUAAGAUCCAAUCCAAUAUUGCAAACCGAAGCGUUGGAAGCGCACGUCGCUUGAUGAGAGAGAGACCGAUGAUAUACAACUGUGAUAGGCAAGUUUUAUACCAGGUCCAGGUAUGCCCAAAACACCUCAGUGAAGAAACAAACUGCGAGUAUGUGCAACUCAGUAGUAAGGUCACACAUACAAAUCCUCCGUUGUCCAGCAGCUUCGCAUAACAUACAUUCUAACUUCUUUUUUUUCUUUUGGAUUGAGAGUCCGUCGAAAACAUGUGAACAAUCUAAACAGCCGAAAACCGAGAUUUUAUUAAACCAUAACAAUAACUAAGGAUCAGGAUUUUAGCCCGAAUACAGGAAACACAAUCCAAGCUAAUUAUACUACUCGGUCCAAGAAAAAUCACAAGACGCAAAACUUUCAUACAAAAUAAUUCCAAAUCCAGUACCCCUAAUUCGUUCCUUUUGUUACCGAAGAGUAACAGCUUGGAGAGAGAAUCAGGGACAUUGUCCAUCAUUCGCCUUGGCAACUUUGCCCGGCAGCAUCAAAGACUGCAGAACAAUGUUCGUUGCAAACUCAUUGGCUUUUCCCAUUUUUCUGGGAAACAACAAAAUUGCGAAUAACUUCCAUUGCUAACUGGUGAGCAUUCUUAUUCUGCAGCUUUGCAAGCUCAUCCACAGCUUCAUACGUCUCCUUAUCAGCAAAAAGUUUCAAGUUGUAACGUGCUGGUGACGCCUCUGGCCCUUCCCAUUUGUUAACCAACUCUUGAAGUUUUUCAAAUCCCUGACAACAAUACCAAUUAGAGUCACAACCAUAGAUUAAACCAGUAUUUGAGAUAAAACCACCACCUUCAUCCUUGGAGGGCCUAAAUAUAAUCUUAUAAUCUUAUUUUACAACUUACCAAGCGGUUUGUGAAGUCGCCGAAUGACUCUUUAGAUUGUCGUUUACGUUUCCAGUAAUAAAACAAAGGUUCGAAAACCUUUUCAAGGUCUUGAACCUUGACCUUGUUCAUGAAGGAUUUUGCGAUUGAGGUUUGAUUGGGUGUUCCUCCAAGCCAGAUCUAUUUGAACACAAGCAGAGAAGUGAAAAAAAACGCUCAGUUGCUUUCUUGAUAAUCUGGACUUGAGCACGAUCAAUAUUGCGACAGGUGUGCUGGAAUUUGAAUUACCUGAUAGCUAUUUGGACCAUCACCAACUAGUCCAAGUUCAGCCAUGUAUGGCCUAGCACAACCAUUAGGGCAUCCAGUAAUCCUUAUAACUAGUGAUUCAUUGUACUUCAGACCAACCUGAAAUCCAAAAGUAAUAUUUACCGCAUGCAAUCUAAUUCAUUAACAAUAAAUGAUCUUGAUUUUCCACCUUUUGUUAGUGCUUCGUGGAAUGUGCUUGUUAUUAUGGUAAUACCUUCUCAAAUACUGCUCGAACCCGCUUAAGAAUGUCAGGUAUACCUCGUUCAGCUUCAGUUAUUGCCAGUGGGCAUAGUGGGAAGGCUGGGCAUGCCAUGGCAGUUAAGUUGAGGGGGUCUACAAACCUAGGAUGCUGCCACAAUUGGAACUGAUCAGUAUUAUCCCCAUUUAUGAAAACUCAGAACCUCAAUGCAUUUUUUUUUUUUUUUUGGGGGGAAAAGAAUACCCAAAGAACAUUUUUAUAAUAGACACCACAUGUCUCAAACAGUUCAAGUAAACUAAGAACCAAUAAGUUAAACUAACAAUUGUUUUCUUAAGUCCCGAUCACUCUCCGAGUUUAAAAGAUUCAAACAGAGAAUAAAGAAAGAUAUCCCAUGAGAUCAAUGGAGCCUCCAUGAUUUUACCCUCUAAAUCCUAUCAUAAAAUCAUUUGCAGCCAACUAUAUUAAUGCAAAAAGCAGUAGAAGAAUCAAUAUCUAACGCAAAAUAAUUCACAGCAUCAUUCCAGAUGGACAACACAGCAGGUGAAUCAGACAUGCCAUCCUACUGAGUUGUAAAGGUUCACUUGGCGGUGAAAUUUAUUUCACAGAUUAGGAGUAAAAUAAAGAAAACACAUCUUACCAGCAGCCCGGCUUUUGCAAGAACUGUGGUGAUGGGACGCUUCCAUGCACUGCGAAUAUCACAUAAUAUGAUGUUCUGGUUGGGUGUGAGCCUUACACUCAAGUUAUACUUUUCUAUAACCUCUCUUAAUGCCUGCUUCAUAACUCCCCCAAUCCGACCAUUAUCGACAUGAAGCCCACAAUAAUAACUGCCGUCACCCUAUCAAAUAAAGAUAUAAAUAGUCAGGACACAGCGCUUUGCGAUAUGAAACAUAAGAUGGAAUCAAAGACAUUCAAUUCUAUAUGUGAAAACCAACAGAACGAACCUGCUUGUGCCAUCCCAAGUGACCUUUGAAUUCCCACUCCGGCAACUCACGGAAAGGCUCAAAUUUCUUUCCGUAAUACUGUUCCACUACACUUCUGAACUUUUCAAUCCCCCAUGAGCUGAUCAAAUAUUUCAUUCUACUAUACCUCCGAUCAUCUCUUCUCCCAUUUUCACGUUGUGUAACAACUAUAGCCUUAAUGGCAUAUAGGAUAUCCUCUUUAGGGACAUAACCCAAUGGCUCAGCCAGACGGGGAAAAGUGGAUUCCAUCCUAUGUGUCCUUCCCAUACCACCACCAACCUGCAGAGGAAAUAAUCAGAAAUCAUGUUUUGUGGAGAAAAUUAGCUCAAAUAUAAACAUUGGAGCAUAACUUCAUCUUACAUAUAGGUUGAACCCUUGAGGCUCCCCGUUAUCAUCAGUAACAACCACAACACCAAUAUCAUUUGUGAGAAUAUCCACCGAGUUGUCUGUUGGCACCGUAACUGCAACUUUAAACUUCCUGGGCAAGAACUGAGUUCCAUAAAUGGGCUCGGGUGAAUCAGGGAAGUUUGUUCCAUGAGUAUUAUCAUUGCGGGCCUUUGUUACUUCAGGAGGCUCUGCGGUCAGGAACUUCUCUCCAUCCACCCACACAUCAUAGUAAAAUCCAGACUGUGGAGUCAGCAAUGCUGCAAUGUUCUCUGCAGUCUGCUGUGCACAAAGGUAAUCCUUUCUUUGUAUUGGAGCGGGAGGAGCAAGAACGUUUCUGUUAAGAUCGCCACAGGCGCCAAGAGUUGAACCCAUGCUUCUAAUGAUACUACUCAUUACAGUCUUUAGAUCCUUUUUCAGAACCCCAUGGAGCUGAAACGUCUGUCUGGUGGUCAAACGAAGGGUACCAAUUCCAAACUGAUCGGCAAGAUCAUCCAUGGUCAAGUACAGUUGGUUUGACACUUUCCCACAAGGGUUUUUGGUACGAAGCAUAAACGAGUAGGACCUUCCACCACGUUCAUCUCGGUUAUAUUGUUGAUAACUCCCAUGGAACUUAAUGAGUUGUGUAGCAGCCUCAUUAAUGUUCGGGGCAUCCGUCAAAAUCUCUUCAUCAAGAGGGUAUCGUAUGAAAUUGCUCUGUUCUUUGAAUAUCUCAACCUUACUCCGCUUCGUCUCAGGCUUUGCCGGCUGCAAAACACAGAACCUAUGAAAACAAGCACAUUUCCUAUAAACAACUAACAACAAGCAAUCUAACUAGCAUUCGUUACGCAUUUUCCCCUCGGGGCCUAAUGUUUCGCCACCAAUUGACGAAAACUCAAGAAAGUAAUGCAUUUGAUGGAGAUUUGAUGAACUUAAAUAAUUUUUGUAAUAAUCAAGCAUAAAAAUAGCCAAAAAAAUGCUUUUUACUUGUUCUCGUUUAAAUUGAAUAAUUCGCAUUAACCCAUGUUUCGAUAACUCGGUAAACAAUUUUGACAGUGACGGCUGCAGUAAUUUACAAAAUUAAAUUCAAAUAAUGAAAGCCCCAAUCGGCCAAACAUUUGAAUCAAAGUGCUUAAAUUGAACCACAUUUUGGCUCAAUCUCUCACAAAAGUACAUUAAUUUAUCAUCUUUCUUACAAUUAUUCAUUUUCUCGCAUUUUCUGAGCAAACAAACAGAUGCCAAACAAAACAGAGGGAGGAUCAGGAGUUCGAAAACGCACCGUAGCGACGGCUCGAAUGAGCGAAGAGGAAGAAAAGGAGGAGAGAGGCACGUGUCGGCUUCUGGUGAGGCCAAGCGAGUUUGUUGAGCGCAGCCCCUGGUACCUCCCAAUCUGCACCUUCGGCUCCCCCAGAACCGCCGUGUUCGCACCUCCGAACGGCGUCGUCGUCAUACCAACCAAAACGACUGCGCUUCGAGAGGUUUAAGAGUUCAGAGAGUGAGAGCGAGAGAGAAGAUAUAAGCUGUUGAGUAGCGUUGUGGGGAUUGAGUGGUGAAGGAAGAGAAGGCAAAAGCCGCCUUUUCUUUUUAUUUUUUUAUUUCGCACUAUGAAAUUUUUCUAUAUUAUUUGUGUUUUUCUAAGAUUUUGUCGUACGCGCUGACGCGAAAUUUCACGUGCCUACCACGGGAACUGAGGAGAGAUGUUACGCGCCGGAGGCGGAGGAGUGGGGCGCGUGGAGUUUAUCUUACAGAAAUGCGAAAGCAGAGUUUGAUACCUGGACGGAAUUGUGUGUUUUUUCGGGUUUCCUAUUUUACCAUGGUCAAAUGUAGAAUGGCAGCGAGGUGAAUUGGGUUCGGAUAUAUCAUUCCUAUACCCAAAUUCGAUUAUUUCUGAAUUCAAAAUCGUAGACUGAACAGAUUUUCUCUAUAAUCAAACUUGUCGGGUAAUGGAUUUUUCAUCGAAAAACGGUUUUCCCUUUAUAAUAUUUAUUUAUAUCAUUAAUUAAAUAAAGAAUUUUAAAUAAAAACGAUAUGAAAUAAAUAGUUUUUAAUAAUACAUUUGCUACAAUGCAUCUAAUAAGUAAUAUUAAAUAUUUAUGUUACCAAGAAAACAUUUACACUCUUAAAAGUUAUAAACAUAUAGUUUAAGGAAAAUUAAUAAAAAAAACUUCAAAAUUUUGCAUUUUAAUAAAAAAAUCAUCCAAUAAUUUUAUUUAAUGAUAAGAACAAGAAAAAUAAAAAUAAAAUAUCAAACAAAGCGCCACACGUUCUCGCAUGUACAGACUGGGCCUGCAUUCUUCUCUUUACCCUAAAUAAAACCCUAGAGACCUUGAUCAACAACUUGUGGGUGUGGUUUAUUUAUUUGUUAAAGGGUUAAUCUUAAUUUACUAUUCUUGGUUUUUCAACAUUUGGUAGAUAUAGUAUUUUUCAUUCCAUAAAGGCAUUUUAAGUCAAAAUUUUGGGACAAUUUCAUCAUCCAUUAAGAUUGCUAUUAAAUUAGACGUUAAUUGGUGACAUGGUAUAUCUACAUGAACACUGAUUGGGCGUUACAUAUCAAUCUGGCUCCACUUCAACAUUAAAAAAUUUAAAAAGCUUUUUUUUUAUCACUUGAAAAACAAAAUUCCUUUUGUUAUUGUCGUUCGAUCUGCCCCUCAUUCCUCCCUCCCCAAUCCCCUCCUCCAUUCUCUCCUCCGCUCUAGAUGGAUAGUCAGAUGUGCAAAACCCUAGGAAAUUACCUUCUCUUCUGUCUCUCCGUUAUGUGCAAAACACUUGGACUUAAAUUGAUGAUGGGUGAUGGUUUCCCCAGACUCGCUUUGGACUUGGAUCGAUGAUGGGUGGAACGCGGAGGAGAGAAGGGAUGAGGGGAUUGGAAAGGGAGAGAGUGCCAGAUCUAACGACAGUAACAAAUUUUUUUUUUUUUUUUCAAGUGAUAAAAGAAAGUUAUUUUUAGUUUUUAAUUUUUUUUAAUGUUGAAGUGGGGCCAGAUUGACACGUGACUUCCAGUCAAUGUUCACGUAGGCGACCUGUCACCAAUUAACGGCUGAUUUAACAGCAACCUUAACGAAUGUAUGAAACUGUCCUAAAAUUUUGACUUCAGGUACCAUUCUAGGAUGAAAUUUUUUUUAUGUACCAAAUGUUUAAAAUCAAGAAGCUUGAGAGUUGUAAAUUGAGAUCAUAAAAUAUGAGUUUUAUAUAGGCCCUGCCUAAUCAACAAGAAUUCUAUCAAAGGCAUAGUAAACUCCAGGAAGGAAAUUAAAAAAAAAAAAAAAAAAGUGGUCGCCAUUUGAUCAUGCAACUUGGCAAAAUAUAACUAUAUGCAUACGUUGUCAAUAUAUGACUAAAAUCUAAUGGUCUUUUUCUUCUUACAUGCAUGAUCCAGUCAGUCAGAAUAUAAGAGUUGGCCGUUUAAGUUCACGCAGUCGUGGGGCGAGUUUUGCACAUGUACAAUAUGAAAAUGAAGUUGUUGAUGAGGAUACAUAACUUCACCACCUUUCAUAGACAAUCGAACUUGCAUGUAGACAUUUAUUCCUCCCCGAAUUCUUAUAUUCAAACCGAGGAAGUGUUGGUGCUAAGAACAUAUAGGAUCGGAAUCAACAGUGUGCAAUUUCAGAAAUAGUGUAAUAAUCAUGUUCAGUUCAGAAAUAGUCAGUUUCAUAAAUAGUCAGGUUAAGUUUAAGAAAUAAUGAUACUAUCAGUGCUUAGUUUAAAAAAAUAGUAGUAGUACUUGUGUUCAGUUUCAAAAAUAGUCAAUGCAUGCCAACUUGUGUUCAGUUUCAGAAAUAGUGCCUGUAUUUAGUUUCAAAAAUAGUAUAGUACCUAUGUUCAAUUUUAGAAUUAAUGUAAUAUUCGUGUUUAUUAGUUCAAUUUUCAAAAAUAGUAUAGUACCGUUCAGUUUC
This 7299-nucleotide long non-coding RNA is filed under the name Malus domestica (apple). RNAcentral's name for it is "long non-coding RNA (MDOM_LNC003160)". The record is from RNAcentral. Lineage: Eukaryota; Viridiplantae; Streptophyta; Magnoliopsida; Rosales; Rosaceae.